GGCAGCGGGAGAAGGGGAGUGUGAGGGAGGGUAGCCACAAAACACCAAUUUGCGUCUUUGAUUCAUCAUUUAUUGUCACAUUAAUGCAACCAGACAGUUGAUUUACUAAAGCCAUGGAUUGGUCUUGAAAUUGUGCCAUCCAAGGACAAACUCAUAAGCCACAUUUCCAGCUUGACCUCCGUCUUCAAGUCUCUCAUCUCCACUUAUCAUUCCUCCGAUGACUCUGGACGGCGGUUGGCUCUGCCCGCAGCUCUCCCAGCUUGAUGUGGACCAGCACAGAUGGUGACAACAACUGACGUGAGGCCCGUGAACGUGCCCAAUGGGAGACUCUUUUUACUGAACACGGAGACGCAAGAGAAAAAAAAGGGAAGGGAGAGGGAAAAGCCGAAAGCGGCAUGGUGGAGGAAAGCCACCACCAGGGGCCUGGAAGAGGGCGCGGCGGGAUAGCCUGCGCCGGGUCGACAGGUAGCACUUAGUUGUGCUCUUUGAGAAGAAAGAGCGACACGUUAAAUCACCAAAAAUCUCCAAUUAUAUUAAAACAAGUUUCAUUUUC
Long non-coding RNA from Oryzias melastigma (Indian medaka), 553 nucleotides. RefSeq lists it as uncharacterized. The record is from RefSeq and is a predicted model, not a curated record. NCBI's taxonomy places the organism in Eukaryota, Metazoa, Chordata, Actinopteri, Beloniformes, Adrianichthyidae. The transcript is spliced from 2 exons.